This 74-nucleotide transfer RNA is filed under the name Marmota monax (woodchuck). RNAcentral describes it as "tRNA.Val". The stretch from base 6 to 69 matches the Rfam family "tRNA", at positions 8 to 63 of the family's 71-position model. Rfam says of the family: Transfer RNA (tRNA) molecules are approximately 80 nucleotides in length. Their secondary structure includes four short double-helical elements and three loops (D, anti-codon, and T loops). The record is from RNAcentral. Lineage: Eukaryota; Metazoa; Chordata; Mammalia; Rodentia; Sciuridae.
GGAUAUAGCUCAGUUGGUAGAGUGCUUGCCUCACAUGCAUAAGCAUAAGGCCCUGGGUUCAAUCCCCAGCACCA